UGGCACCAGGGCCACCAGGGCAGUGUGGGCUAGAGCAGGCAGAAGGGCUUUGGGAGAACAUUCUGUAUUGUUUGUUGAUUGGGAAAGAGGAGGUGUUGAUCUGGGGCUCUCCAGACCCUGUGCUGGGCGAGGAGUGGCCGCUAGGGCUUGGGAGACGGUCAGGUCUGCAGCUGAUCUAGACUCCUGAACUACAUGGACACGGGAGUCCACAUGACACCAUGAGACAGGGACAGGGACGGGCAGGGGGGACAGAGGCAGAGGGAGGAGGCUCCCAACCCCCACCAACGCAAAUCAACUCCUCUGACGUCAGCGGAGACCCUGGCGGCCUGGGCCCUUACGGAGAAGCCUGACCCAGAGGACAGCACGAAGCAGGUAUCUCCCUCCUGUACAGAUGUCCCCAGUGCACGGAUCCUCACGUGCCAGUUGGGAGAGCCCUUCCAGCCUGGGGAACCCGCUCACCACCGAGCAAGGAGAGCCAGGACCGGGAGACCAGGGCAAGCCACAGCGGACAGCCCACACCUGGUGGGCACCUUGUGGGGACGUGAGCCAUCGCCACCCGAAUGUGAAGGUCCAGCUUGCCACUCAGGUGGGGAACUGCCCUCUGUGCCCUGGAGCAGAGGAGUGUUGCCGCAUGCCUGACCUGGGCCAUGGCCUGCACCUAGCCACAGGCCAGCAGAGCUCACCUCCAUGAGCAAGAAGGGGGCAGACAAUGCCCAGAAGUGGGCAUGUGCCUGUAAGGCAGCCCAUGGUCCACCCACAGGGACCUUGCCACAGGGCAAUGGCAGGUUAAGAGAGGGACAGCUCAGAUGGAGGGAGACUAGGGGACGGAUCCCCAAGUGCCAUCUGGGUCCUGAGUUGAAGGAAUGGACCUUUCUGAACACUUGGGAGGUGCUGAGGAACGGUUUCUGAUUCUAGUGACCGCUCUGGAUGCUUGCGUGAGAAGUGGCACCAGGUCCCAUGGGGACACCAUGACUUUGAGGGACACUGAAGAUCAGGCGGGGUGAGGGGGGAAUGCCUGGACUUGCUGGGAAAACAGCCUUGUGCACCUCCAGACUCUGCAGCCCAGAGAGCUGCUGCCUGGGCCCUGGGCCAGCCCAAGCCACCCAGCCGGUCCUCCAUGGGCAGGCUCCAGGGGGCCGGGGUCUGGGGGCCACCAGCAGCACACACAGAGCCACCUCUGCCGUCCCAGGCCACCGAGGCUCACACAGGCCUGUGGUGGUGGUUCCCCUUCUGGGUGUCCACUCCCUGGGCAGCCGAGGACACUGGGUGGCACGCUUGUGACCGCCAGCAGCCUGCAGUGGGCUGUGAGGCACAUGGCAAUUUGGGCUAAUUUUCCCUCGCGAAGUAGUUGAUCCCAUAAUCUGGUAAAUACACUAAUCAUCGCGCACUGCUCUGCGUGGGCGCCCCGGUGCCGGAGUCCAGGGGGAGUGGGCUGGCGCAGAACAAGACCGCGGCCACGGCAGGAAGAACCCGCUGCCAGAGCUGGCAGCCAGGAACACGGCUCCCGGGUGCCGAGGACCCCGGGCACCCCGCACAGUGGGCACAGGCCCCCCUCACAGACAGGGAGACAGGCCGGGGAGGGGGCUGCAGGGUGGGGGGCAGGAUCCAGGCUGGCAGCCCCCACCCGCCCUCCUUCCCACUGAAGCAAAGGAUGAGUCACACAGCGGAGCAGGGAGCAGCGCUCUGCAGAUGCCAUCGGACCAGGUGGCCCUUGCGGCCUGGCUGUGCGUCCUCUGCUCAGUUUCUGCUCAAUAAUGGAAACCUGAGCAGCUGCCGACUGUGCCCCAGGGGUUGUCUAAGAACCUCCAAUCUGCUUUGCCCAGAAGAUGUGGGGGUACGUGCCCAAGUGGAGUCCCCUGGGCUGGCCUGGGCUGGCAGGAGGCUGCUUUUGGCCAAGGCUGUCUCUCCUGGAGGCCUCUGCGUUCGGGACCCGGGUGGCAGCUGUGGACAUGGUCAGCCUUCCCAGCACUGACAGGUGGGCUUGGCCCACUCAGGCUGCGACUGCAGAAGCCACAAACAGGUGGCUUCAAAACCACAGGAAUAGUCUCCAGUUCUGGAGGCUUCAGGUCCGGUGUCCGGUGGAGGCCGGAGGCCUGGUUGAUAGAGGCACCUGCUCGCCGUCCUCAUGCGGCAGGAGGGCGAGGGAGGCCACCCUCCCAACAGCAUGACGGUGGGGGACACGCCAGGCAGACUGUACAGAGGGUCUGUACUCAGAGUGGAUGCCCACUUUGUCUUCCUGGCCACACGUUGACGGGAGCCAAAGCCACACCAGGGACCCCCCCGCACACUGCUCUGCACGGCACGGGUGACCGUCAAGUCCCUGGCUGGCCUGGGACCUGGGGUGCCCUACAAGCCCCCAGAGGGAGGUCUGGCCUCCAGGGCCUGAUCAGCCCCUCGCCCCCACCCCCCGCGAGGCCUUGCUCCUGACCCUCCCCAGCCCCUGCCUCUCAGUGGAGUUCAGGAGGCUGGGCCUGGGAGGCGGUCAGGGGCCUGGGGUGGCCCCAUGGAAGGGGCUAGGCUCAGGCGGGGGAGGAGGGGAUACAGCCCUGGCCCACAGGCCCUGAGGCCCAGGGCUGCGGGUGUCUGGCCUGUACUGGGCUGGGUUGUGUCCCCUGUAGCGGCCAGCCACCGUGGAUGGAGGCUGGCAUGGUGGGUUGAGAGAUGGCCCCUAAACAGACUUGUCCAUCUCUCAGUCCCAGAGCCUGUCUCCACCUUGUCUGGACAGAGGGUCUUUGCAGGUGUAACCACGCUCUGGCCUGGGGAUGGGAAAUGACCCUGGGUGGCCUGCUGAGUGCUCCGUGCAGGCCACGUGUCCUCACCAGAGGGAGGCAGGAGGUGUGACACAGCGGAAGAGGCAGAGGCAGGAGCCGGGCGGCCACCAGCCCGGGGAUGCCUGGAGCCCCAGCGCAGGAGGAGGCAGGGAGGACCCUCACCGGGGGCCCUUGGGCUCAGGCAUCUGGACCCCAGGAUGAGGGGCUGCACACCUGCUGCUUCCACCCAUCUGGCCUGUGGCACAGGACGUGACCACCACGGUGCUCCCCAGCACUGAGCGGACCCGAGCCCACUGCAGGGAGGUGGGCAGGGGGCACCCAGGUCCGGCCCCUCCCCGUCCCCUUCCAUGGAACAGUCUCAGGCUGGGCUCUGGGUCCUCACCAGGCUAUUGACCUCAGGGAGCCUCUGCUCCCUCAAGGUGACGUGGGGACCAGGUUGGACGUGGACCUUCAGGGUGACUGAGAUCCAAGGUGGCCAUGUGGUAACCUGCUCGGCAGGGUCGGUGCUCAGUGCACGCAGUUGGCGUCGUUACUGUGACGCCCUGGGACGUAGGGGGUGGGCAGACGCCCUGCACUUGAGUUAGGGAGUUCGAUGGCUCAGAUCACUCACGUCCCUUCACGUGAAAAAUAGCGAUGGGUCCCUGCAGCUCCUGACCUGCGCCCUCUACAGUCUUGCCUGCAGGAGCUCCAGCCUGUGCCCAGCCUGUCCUGCAUGGACAGCAGAGAACGGCACUUGUGUCCCCUUCAGGUGUGCAGUGAGGUCACCUCACAGGCCCUGGGCUCUGUGGCAAGGAAUGGCCACCAGAGGCGAGUCGAGGCACCAGGACGUGAGCUGACCUGAUGUGCGCUUUCCCUCCCGCCAGCCAGAUGUGGCAGCAAGGAAGCCGCAGCCUGGGCACUGUGUGCUGGGGACGGAGGAGCCGGGGAGGAAGGAGCCGACAUUACAGCCUGGAGGACAGCUGCUUCCUGCAGGUGCUCGAGGGGAGCAGGACACAGACCCCCGUUGUGAGAUGAACAGUCGCCAUUCCCUCCGGGCCUGUUUGUCACAGCGCCUAGCAUCAACGUAACCGACGCAAAGUCCGACAGGGUUGAGGUGCUGCGAGCCGCCUCCGACGCCUGGCUCAGGGCUGUGCCAGGCGGAGAGGGCCGUCCCUCCAGUCUCAGGUUCCCACGAGGUCUGACUUUUCUGGGGGACUGAGUUUCAGGCUCUCUUUAGGAGUUCCCAGGCAGGAGGGAGGACCACAGGACAGUGGAUGCCAAGCUGGGUGACGUCAGAGGACGAGGGCGGGGACACGGCACAUCACCAGUGUUGCUCAGCGAGGCCCUGUGUCACAGGCUCUUCCAGUUCCGGAGUGUUCUCUCCUAAAGGACCCCACACCACAUGGUCCAUUCUUCCUGCAGCACACGCGACCUCAGCCCACUCUGGCUGGCCGACGGCCCUCAGGCUGCCGCAGAGAUGAACUUUCUUGGUUGAGAGCACCCCGGGGCCUUAUAACUGUGAUUUCCCGUUCCCUCUGAAGUAAAAUCCAUAAUAGCCGCACUGGGGCGAAUGCCCAGGCUGGAGACGGUUCCCUGGGAGUCAGCGUCGGGUGAGUGACAGAGGCCACUUAGCAGCAGCCCAGGCGAGACGGGCCCCCACGUCUCCCCAUGGGAACCGCCGUGCAAACCACGGUGGCUCUGCUCGGCUUCUGGGGAUGGCGCCGAACGGCCCGACUGCGACGGGGUUUGGCCCAGGCUGCCUCCUGCGUCCACACCACGUCCAUUCCAGCUGCCCCCACACCUCCCAGCAGCGUCUGGGGACAGCAAGUGACACAAGCAGGCCAUGGGUUUCCUGGAGAUUCCCCUGGCCCAGGAGCAGCACCUUCAGGGGGCGAGAAAGUGGAG
RNAcentral lists this long non-coding RNA (4655 nucleotides) under Marmota monax (woodchuck). Lineage: Eukaryota; Metazoa; Chordata; Mammalia; Rodentia; Sciuridae. The record is from RNAcentral.